UGUGAACUCGAAGAGUAGGGCGGGACACGUGGUAUCCUGUCUGAAUAUGGGGGGACCAUCCUCCAAGGCUAAAUACUCCUGACUGACCGAUAGUGAACCAGUACCGUGAGGGAAAGGCGAAAAGAACCCCGGCGAGGGGAGUGAAAAAGAACCUGAAACCGUGUACGUACAAGCAGUGGGAGCACCUUCGGGUGUGACUGCGUACCUUUUGUAUAAUGGGUCAGCGACUUAUAUUCUGUAGCAAGGUUAACCGUAUAGGGGAGCCGCAGGGAAACCGAGUCUUAACUGGGCGUUAAGUUGCAGGGUAUAGACCCGAAACCCGGUGAUCUAGCCAUGGGCAGGUUGAAGGUUGGGUAACACUAACUGGAGGACCGAACCGACUAAUGUUGAAAAAUUAGCGGAUGACUUGUGGCUGGGGGUGAAAGGCCAAUCAAACCGGGAGAUAGCUGGUUCUCCCCGAAAGCUAUUUAGGUAGCGCCUCGUGAACUCAUCUUCGGGGGUAGAGCACUGUUUCGGCUAGGGGGUCAUCCCGACUUACCAACCCGAUGCAAACUACGAAUACCGAAGAAUGUUAUCACGGGAGACACACGGCGGGUGCUAACGUCCGUCGUGAAGAGGGAAACAACCCAGACCGCCAGCUAAGGUCCCAAAGUCAUGGUUAAGUGGGAAACGAUGUGGGAAGGCACAGACAGCCAGGAUGUUGGCUUAGAAGCAGCCAUCAUUUAAAGAAAGCGUAAUAGCUCACUGGUCGAGUCGGCCUGCGCGGAAGAUGUAACGGGGCUAAACCAUGCACCGAAGCUGCGGCAGCGACACUAUGUGUUGUUGGGUAGGGGAGCGUUCUGUAAGCCUGCGAAGGUGUGCUGUGAGGCAUGCUGGAGGUAUCAGAAGUGCGAAUGCUGACAUAAGUAACGAUAAAGCGGGUGAAAAGCCCGCUCGCCGGAAGACCAAGGGUUCCUGUCCAACGUUAAUCGGGGCAGGGUGAGUCGACCCCUAAGGCGAGGCCGAAAGGCGUAGUCGAUGGGAAACAGGUUAAUAUUCCUGUACUUGGUGUUACUGCGAAGGGGGGACGGAGAAGGCUAUGUUAGCCGGGCGACGGUUGUCCCGGUUUAAGCAUGUAGGCUGGUUGUCCAGGCAAAUCCGGAUAAUCAAGGCUGAGGUGUGAUGACGAGGCACUACGGUGCUGAAGUAACAAAUGCCCUGCUUCCAGGAAAAGCCUCUAAGCAUCAGGUAACAUUAAAUCGUACCCCAAACCGACACAGGUGGUCAGGUAGAGAAUACCAAGGCGCUUGAGAGAACUCGGGUGAAGGAACUAGGCAAAAUGGUGCCGUAACUUCGGGAGAAGGCACGCUGGUGUGUAGGUGAAGUCCCUGCGGAUGGAGCUGAGACCAGUCGAAGAUACCAGCUGGCUGCAACUGUUUAUUAAAAACACAGCACUGUGCAAACACGAAAGUGGACGUAUACGGUGUGACGCCUGCCCGGUGCCGGAAGGUUAAUUGAUGGGGUUAUCCGUAAGGAGAAGCUCUUGAUCGAAGCCCCGGUAAACGGCGGCCGUAACUAUAACGGUCCUAAGGUAGCGAAAUUCCUUGUCGGGUAAGUUCCGACCUGCACGAAUGGCGUAAUGAUGGCCAGGCUGUCUCCACCCGAGACUCAGUGAAAUUGAACUCGCUGUGAAGAUGCAGUGUACCCGCGGCAAGACGGAAAGACCCCGUGAACCUUUACUAUAGCUUGACACUGAACAUUGAGCCUUGAUGUGUAGGAUAGGUGGGAGGCUUUGAAGCGUGGACGCCAGUCUGCGUGGAGCCAACCUUGAAAUACCACCCUUUAAUGUUUGAUGUUCUAACGUUGGCCCCUGACCGGGGUUGCGGACAGUGUCUGGUGGGUAGUUUGACUGGGGCGGUCUCCUCCCAAAGCGUAACGGAGGAGCACGAAGGUUAGCUAAUCCUGGUCGGACAUCAGGAGGUUAGUGCAAUGGCAUAAGCUAGCUUGACUGCGAGCGUGACGGCGCGAGCAGGUGCGAAAGCAGGUCAUAGUGAUCCGGUGGUUCUGAAUGGAAGGGCCAUCGCUCAACGGAUAAAAGGUACUCCGGGGAUAACAGGCUGAUACCGCCCAAGAGUUCAUAUCGACGGCGGUGUUUGGCACCUCGAUGUCGGCUCAUCACAUCCUGGGGCUGAAGUAGGUCCCAAGGGUAUGGCUGUUCGCCAUUUAAAGUGGUACGCGAGCUGGGUUUAGAACGUCGUGAGACAGUUCGGUCCCUAUCUGCCGUGGGCGCUGGAGAAUUGAGGGGGGCUGCUCCUAGUACGAGAGGACCGGAGUGGACGCAUCACUGGUGUUCGGGUUGUCAUGCCAAUGGCACUGCCCGGUAGCUAAAUGCGGAAGAGAUAAGUGCUGAAAGCAUCUAAGCACGAAACUUGCCCCGAGAUGAGUUCUCCCUGAGACUUUAAGUCUCCUGAAGGAACGUU
This 2459-nucleotide ribosomal RNA is filed under the name Klebsiella pneumoniae. Its description in RNAcentral is "partial 23S ribosomal RNA". It matches the Rfam family "Bacterial large subunit ribosomal RNA", at positions 398 to 2839 of the family's 2925-position model. Lineage: Bacteria; Pseudomonadati; Pseudomonadota; Gammaproteobacteria; Enterobacterales; Enterobacteriaceae. The record is from RNAcentral.